Small nuclear RNA from Monodelphis domestica (gray short-tailed opossum), 104 nucleotides. The record is from Ensembl. Lineage: Eukaryota; Metazoa; Chordata; Mammalia; Didelphimorphia; Didelphidae.
GUGCUUGCUUCGGCAGCACAUAUACUAAAAUUGGAACCAUAUAGAGAUUAGUAUGGCCCCUGUGCAAGGAUGACAUGCAAGUUCAUGAAGUGUUCCAUAUUUUU